This 206-nucleotide long non-coding RNA is filed under the name Phoenix dactylifera (date palm). Its description in RNAcentral is "long non-coding RNA (PDAC_LNC004778)". The record is from RNAcentral. Lineage: Eukaryota; Viridiplantae; Streptophyta; Magnoliopsida; Arecales; Arecaceae.
AAGUAUCCAAAGCUUAAAUUUGAAUCAUUCUUCCAAGGAUUGCGAACUGAAGUGAGACUAAUAGCCCAAACCAGUUGCUUAUAAAUAGGACGGACCGGCCAUCGACCCUCCACUGGUGCCUUAACCUCCUUUGUCCCAUGCAAUGGUACAUCAUGCCAGAUACCAUCAGCUGGAAUUACAUUCCAAGGCCUAUUCCUACGCCCUUC